CCCCAGUGUUGAUCACUGACUGUUCACUCCUUUCAGAGCCACUGACACGCAGCACAAUGAUGAUGUCACUGAUUAUACUGCUGGGGACACUGGGGCUCCUUCUUCAGGAAUCAUCAGCAGAUAUAAUCCUGACCCAGUCUCCUAAAUCUCAGUCUGUUCGCCCAGGAGAGUCUGUCUCUAUCAGCUGUACAGCCAGUUCAAGUACUGGUAAUAAUCUCCAGUGGUACCUGCAGAAACCUGGAGAAGCUCCUAAACUCCUGGUUUAUUCUGCUACAACCCGUCAGUCUGGGAUUCCAGGUCGUUUCAGUGGGAGUAGAUCUGGUAGUUCAUAUACUCAUUACACUCUGACCAUCAGUGGAGUCCAGGCUGAAGAUGCAGCAGAUUACUACUGUCAGCAGGGUGCCAGUUAUCCGUUCACACAGUGUUGGAACGUCGUACAAAAACCUCCCCCAGCUAAAGAGGAACUGCUCUGACUCAACAGCUGCAGAACUACAGAGUCUCCCAUAUUCUAAAGUAUUCUAAACACCAAUUCAUCACAAUAUGACACGACAAUAAUGUAAUUGGUUAGACUUGUCUAUGGACUAUGAUACUGUACAUAUCUCUCAUUAUAUUCUGCAAAAAUGUUAAAUCUUUGUUUAACACACUGGGACCACUUAGGAUACAGAGCUGUAGAAAAUGCUUUCUUUUGAAGGACAUGUUGAACAAAAUUCAGAAUAGGUUAAGAUUUUUUUUCACGUUUUGAUUUAUCUUGAUAUUGUAAGAAGCAGUCAUUUCAUUACACAAUAGCAGGAAUGUGGAUCCUGUCCGAACCCAACUAUUCAUGCCCUGCUCAACUUCAACCUUGAAGGAGUGAAUACAGUCAUAUCGAUUCCAUUCAAGAUGUACUACUUUAUUAAUAAGAUUAUUAUACAUGUCACAAAUAAAUGUAGUCUACAUACUGUAUACAAAGCCAUUAGAAGACUGUGAAUUUCCCAAUUUGAACAUUAUGCAAAGUCCAGUGUAAAGUCGGCCAGCCCAUGUUCAGAUCUUUAGUCAGACACACAGCUGCCCCAGUCCCAGAGGAUUUGAGGCUGAGUGAUUGUGAUCUCUGGUUGGCUUGAAACUCAGAUUUACAUGGGCAGGGUGACCGCAACACUCCCAGAAUAGAGCAGUACCAUGGCCAGAUGUUCACCUGUUAACAGAGAGUUCCAUUGAGCUUGGAGCACAUGGCUUCAGUAUUGGCAACAUCCAGAGUCAUAUAUUUAGAGAGUUAGGCCAACUUUUAGAGUUUGAUUAUUGUUCUAAUUCUAGACAUUCAGUUACACAGCAUUGUUGUAAUGUUAAUGGGGAGCUACUAUGCCUGCCACAGAAUGUUGAAGUGUCAUGUAAAUAUAUCAUAAUGCAGAAACCUCAGUGUCCUCUUUAAAACAUGGUUCUGGUAAAAUCAUAAAGACUGAUAAGUCUAGAGAACAUGGCUUCAGUAUUAGUAUCACUGUAGAUAUCAUUUUGACAGGCACCAAAUGUGGCCCAACCAGCCAAACAUUCAUUGAGAGAGGUUGAUUGUGUAAAAUGUUCUUGUAAAAUCACUUUCCUGGACAGAGAGCUC
Salvelinus fontinalis (brook trout) is the source of this 1585-nucleotide non-coding RNA. Lineage: Eukaryota; Metazoa; Chordata; Actinopteri; Salmoniformes; Salmonidae. The record is from the annotation of a RefSeq genome assembly.